Meleagris gallopavo (turkey) is the source of this 769-nucleotide non-coding RNA. The record is from RefSeq and is a predicted model, not a curated record. NCBI's taxonomy places the organism in Eukaryota, Metazoa, Chordata, Aves, Galliformes, Phasianidae.
CUCGGGACACCGCAGUCCCGAGAGUGUAUGGCUGUCGCCGUGAGGCACACGCAGCAGCGCUCUGAGCUGCGUGAGGUCGGAGGCACGCAGUGUUGUGCUACUGUGAGGCACAGGCCUGAGCAAUGUGGUGAGGCGUGUGGGUGCCCCGUUCCUGGAGGUGUCCGAGGCCAGGUCCUGGGUAGCCUGGUCUUGUGGGGGAUCAGCACACGUGGAGCUGUGUCCUGUGCCACAAAGCUGUCGGCAGGACAUGCACGCAGACUGCUGCAAUACACAGGUACACACGCUGACCUGAGAAACGCAGCCUGCUGCACUUUGGCAGACACACACGCCUAAAAUAUCCACGCCUGUUGACACUGACAGGCACAUGCCCUGCGCUGGCAGCCUGUGACACCUGAGACUUGUAGUGACAUGCAACCGCACACGCUCGCACACUGACCUGAAAGAACACGGGCCGUCACUAUGAGACCAGCAUAGACCAUAUGUUUAAAGAUGAAAAGACUGGGACACUCAAGUGCUGAAAAAUAAAAUUGUAACAAGAGAGCAAGAUUACGGCCUGCACUGAGACCUUGCUGCUGUGUGCUUCCCCUGGCAUGUCUGUCAACUGCAGAGAAACGAUCCUCAGACAACUGGAUAAACCAGACAUUGACACUAACAGAGCAUGUGACUGGAGUUAAGCAGUUUCUUCAGAUUGUCACCUGCUUCAGCCCGCAUAGCGUCAAAGUGGAACCUGAAAGGCUCAUAAAAGGUACAAUGAAAAUAAAGGGGUGAG